Molecule: ribosomal RNA, 410 nt
Filed under: uncultured bacterium
Lineage: Bacteria
Description: bacterial SSU rRNA
Rfam family: Bacterial small subunit ribosomal RNA
Source: RNAcentral
AAUGAUCGAAAGAUUGACGCAGCGACGCCGCGUGGACGAUGAAGGUUUUCGGAUCGUAAAGUCCUUUCAGCAAGGAAGAAUGGAUAUGUAAGUAACUGUGCAUAUAUUGACGGUACUUGCAGAAGCAGCCCCGGCUAACUCCGUGCCAGCAGCCGCGGUAACACGUAAGGGGCGAGCGUUGUUCGGAAUUAUUGGGCGUAAAGGGCGCGUAGGCGGUCUUGUAAGCCCGGCGUGAAAACCUGGAGCUCAACUCCGGGCCUGCGCUGGGAACUGCGGGACUAGAGUCAUGGAAGGGAAGUUGGAAUUCCAGGUGUAGGGGUGAAAUCUGUAGAUAUCUGGAAGAACACCGGUGGCGAAGGCGAACUUCUGGCCAAUGACUGACGCUGAGGCGCGAAAGUGCGGGGAACAAA